RNAcentral lists this unclassified non-coding RNA (433 nucleotides) under soil metagenome. RNAcentral describes it as "partial contains 5.8S ribosomal RNA, internal transcribed spacer 2, and large subunit ribosomal RNA". The stretch from base 1 to 120 matches the Rfam family "5.8S ribosomal RNA", at positions 35 to 154 of the family's 154-position model. The record is from RNAcentral.
GAUGAAGAACGCAGCGAAAUGCGAUACGUAAUGUGAAUUGCAGAAUUCAGUGAAUCAUCGAAUCUUUGAACGCAUAUUGCGCUCUCUGGUAUUCCGGAGAGUAUGCUUGUUUGAGUAUCAGUAAACACCUCAACUUCCAUAUCUUUUUUGAAAUGGGAGUUGGACUUGAGUGAUCCCAACGCUUUUCCUCACCGAAAAGUGGCGGGUUACUUGAAAUGCAGGUGCAGCUGGACUUUUCUCUGAGCUAUAAGCAUAUCUAUUUAGUCUGCCUAAAAAACAGAUUAUUACCUUUGCUGCAGCUAACAUAAAGGAGAUUAGUUCUUGUGCUGACUGAUGCAGGAUUCACAAAGACAGGCUUCGGCCGACUUUGUAAACUCGAUCUCAAAUCAAGUAAGACUACCCGCUGAACUUAAGCAUAUCAAUAAGCGGAGGA